Jaculus jaculus (lesser Egyptian jerboa) is the source of this 3708-nucleotide long non-coding RNA. RefSeq lists it as uncharacterized. NCBI's taxonomy places the organism in Eukaryota, Metazoa, Chordata, Mammalia, Rodentia, Dipodidae. The transcript has 2 exons. The record is from RefSeq and is a predicted model, not a curated record.
UGGGGGAAGGGUAGCAAAAGGCAUCGGGAGUAAAGCCAGGCCCCCAGCUCCUUCCUGAAAGCUGAGUAGGGUUCCUUCCUUUCCCGGAGGGAGGAGAGUCUGGCUUCUGAGCCCUAGAGACGGGGUGGGGCGGGGGCGCUGGGCUCAACAGGUGCAGGCCUGGGGGGAUACCCCGGGCCACUUUGCUAAGCCAGCGCACUAGCCCUGCCCUUUUAGCAGAAAGGCCUGUAGCUAAGUUUAGCUAGCCAGACCUUUGCUAAAAAGGCAGGGAACACGCAGGGCUGCACCCCAAAUCUAGCCCCAGCCUCUUGCCUGUCUAGGGUUGCCCUCUCCUUGGGGCCUCAGAGCGAGCACCGGAUGUCUCCGUCUCGCAGCUGUCUGUGUGGCCCAUGCCCAGGCUAACUAACCAUGAGCAGGCCAGGAGGACAGUGCUGGGAGCGGGGUUCGGGCCGGCCUGCCUCCCUUCCUGCAGAGCCAGCAGCCUUCAUCUUCCCCCACCAGCCUUGGGCCUCAAGCCCUAAACCAAAGCACGAUUCUGGGGUACUAUCUUUCCUUUUUGACUCGGGCCUGUCACUCCCUCUCAUCCCCCAAACAGGCCCGGAGCACUUCUGAUGCAGGGUGCUGUUGCCAUGACAGCCAGAGCCAUCACCAUGGCAGGCUCCUUCCUCCGGUCCUCAGUGACUCAGCAGACUGGAGACUUGUGGGCAGGGGAAUGAGUGCAGAUGCAUCACGGGGCUUGCUCCUGAGGAGCUGGACCUCCCGCAGACACGUCACAGCCAGACAGAGCUGUCUCUGCAGAAUGGGGGGGGGGGGGGGCCGUCAUGAGCUCUCUGCCGUCAGCCAGGCCAGGACAACUACCCGCUUCAGGGAAGGACUGGGGCACACAGGGUCCAGAGCAGGAUGUCACUGGGACGUGUUAGGCUGCACAGUUCUGUCGUGGGCUGUCCUGCGCUGUUUAGCAGCAGCUCUCCCCAUCUUCCUUCCCACCCACCGACGGUCUGCAGGCAUUGUCAAAAACCCUUGGAACAGAGUCACUCCCGGCUGAGAAGUACUGUGUGAUCUAGAAACUGGGUAAUUGUCCAGAGCACGGCCAUCUUGGGCCUCACGAGGCAAUGCAGGAGCACGGGCUCAUGCGAGAUCUGCGCAGUCUUGUCUCACCUGGGCUCAUCUCUCUGAAUGUGUAAACCCUGUGUCUGCUGCCUGAAUCUGGGCUCAUGUGAAAGGUGAAAAAAGACCAGUUUAAGACAAUGCUUAAAAGGAUUUAAAAACAUUUAUUCAUUAGAAAACAAGGCAAACAUCUGCGGCAGAGUGAAAGCAGCUGUGUGCGGUUUGCAGUUUAAAACCGAGCGGAGGCGGCAAGUGCACUGCACAAGGGAGGAGCCGGAGGCUGCGUCCUUGAAGAUGCCCUGCCCAGCAGGGACGGGGGCAGGACCACAGCUCCUAGGGCUGCCGCCUGCGGACGGAGGCUCUGCGGAUGGGGGUGGUUUUCUUGGGGGUCUCAUCUUCUGUCAUCUCAGCUGAAAGCUCUGCUCAAAAAAAACAGGAAUAAAAGCUAGGUCACAGAGAUGGUGCAAAUAGAUCUGAGAGAAUAAAUUGGGCAGAAGCAAACCCAACUGCAGGGGAAGGCAUCUUCUGGCAGGAAAGACCUGAACCAGGUACCCUGAUGUCUACAAGGGCACAGCGUACCCUCCUCACUGGACUCGUCGCUGGAGAAGACCACCUUGGGUUUACUCUUGGGUCUGCGCUGCUGAGUGCUUGGGAGCCGGCGGCAGGUGCGCCGAGGUCCAGGUGUGGCGAAGUCGUCGUCAGAGGGGGCAGAAGUCAGAGGCUGCUGCCGGGAGGCUAGACAAGGCAGGGAGACGUGGUUCAAACAAAUGGAAACCCGGCUCCUGCGUGGGCUCGCCAUAGACAGGAGGCUGCCUUUCCUACCGGCGGAAGGUUUCCUGGCUGAUGGAGCCCUCUGGCUCCGUUCAUCGUCAUUCUCAAGCUCCUCUAGUGCGUCCAAGCCCCGCGUGUGACAGGCCCGAAGCUUCUGCUCAAAUUCAUCUAUGAUGGGCUGGGAGGAAAAGUUCCAGAGCAGCCUUGGAAACACUGCUGUGUCCCUGAUUAAAAGGCUACAGUGUGGGAUUCUCGGGGCAGUGAGACUGUUCAGCGGGACACAGCAGUGGUGCUCAGUGAGCCUCCGUGGGAACUGUGGACUUUGGAGGCUGACCGGUCACUGGUUGUCCAGGCCAAGGCAGGAAGGGGCGGGGGAGGAGGCCGGGUGUGAGGAUGCGGGAGGGACCUACCUUGCCCUCGGGCUUGGCCCCGCGCCGCAGCUUGCCCACAACUGACAGAAAAGCGCUGAAGAUGGACUCGUCUGACAGCAUGUUUCCAAAGCAGUCGAAGUUGUCGAGCAUCUUACGGACGCCCCGCUCCGUGAGGGGCAGCUGGGACACGCAGUAAGCCAGGUCCCGGUGCUGCCGCUCGGUUCUGCAGACGGAAGGGACUGGCUGAAGAGGAGGUGAGGCACAUACUUCCUCCGCAACAACCCCCAGCUGCCUCCACCUGGCUCACCUUGUGGGAGAGCUCAUUGAAGAAGUUCUUGGCUAGGGCCGCAAUGGGAGGCUCGGGGUCGAUGAGCAGCACAGCCAUCUCGCUCACCUGGCCCUUCACCUUCACCAUGUCUUUCAGGAUCAGGUGGGUCAUCACCAGCCCUGCUGUCUUCCGCACCUGCUGAGCGGGGUCUCGGAGGCUGGGAACGAAAGGUCUAGUCACUGCCACCGAGGCAGGGCCUCAGGAGAAAGCUUCAGUUCCCAGAGUCCACCUAGCCAAGGGCCCACUGGUGCAGGACAUCUAAUGACUCACGGCGCCUUGAGGAGGGAGAGCAGCGCUCUCAAGGGAUCGGGAUCUCUUACCGAGCAUACAGAUGAGGUGUCCAGGGGUCCACCAAGUUGGGGAAGCGGAUGGCCAGGUCCCCAGUGGCAACCAUGAGGUUCGAGCGGACAGUGGGAAGUGAGGACUUUUCAAGCAUGGUGAAUAAAAGGCGAAGCUGGGAGUCGCAGAAAGUGGCACUGGGGGCAAGGACAGGGUCAUCAGGGGAGUGGGAAACCGCCACCCACCCCGCUGGGCGUGUGGACAGGGCCUACCUGACCAUGCAGAGCUUGCCCAGGGCCAGCGAGGCGGCUGCACACAGGUCGGGGCUGCUAUAGAGGCCGGGGCUGCUGCAGACUUUGAGCACAAGUGGAACGAAGGCGGCCAGGACCUGCUUGCCUGUGGGGAGAGCAGCUCUGAGGGGCUGAGUCACGGCCACCGUGUUGAAGUGCUUAGGAAAUUGUCUCACCAUCCAGCAGUUCCACCUCACAGAUGCUGCGGAUGAGUUCUGCCUCAGUGUCAUCGGCAGUGGCUCCGGUCAGCCCCAGCUCUUCCUCCAUGGUUGUCUCAGAGCUUGUAUUCUGAAGGGAAAGAAGCCAGAGGCUUUAUAUUUUGCGUGGAGAACAACAGGAUCUUAUGUGGCCCAGGCUGGCCUUAAGCUCUGGAUCCUCCUGUGUCUACCUCCCAAAUGCUAGAAUUACGGGCAUACAUGACUGUGUCCUGCCUGAGACAUUGUUUUAUUUCCAGCCUAACAUUACAUUUUGCAUGAACACAUUUUAGGAAAGGUAAAGUCUACAAAACCAUCCACAGAACUGCCAAAUGUGUCUACAAUAAAUUCCUAAGUAGAAAAAAACA